Long non-coding RNA from Pleuronectes platessa (European plaice), 844 nucleotides. RefSeq lists it as uncharacterized. The record is from RefSeq and is a predicted model, not a curated record. NCBI's taxonomy places the organism in Eukaryota, Metazoa, Chordata, Actinopteri, Pleuronectiformes, Pleuronectidae. The transcript has 6 exons.
CGUAAAAACCCUAUUUGUAAACAACCAGCCCUUUAACUCGGGGCUGCGUCAUAAACACGGCGCGCUUGGAAGACCACGAUGUCAUCUUCCUUCUGUCAGGAGGAUCCAAGUGAAGCUACAGGAGUUUCAUUAACGUCAACAACUUGGACCAAACAGUUUGUUUUGCUUGAUGAAGAGCAGGAAGGGCAGCCUGGAGAGAAAGAGAAGCCGGGUUGAGCCCACUACCAUCAUCCACGUACCACGAGGAAGAUGAGGGAGAGAAAUGAUCCUACCAUUAAAGAGACUGUGAAAAGAACGUUGAGAACAUCACCACUCUACAGGAAGACACAGUCCAGUAAUGGGUGUCAGAAGUUCAGUAGUGAACGACAGAAACAAACAAUCCAAAUUACCUGCAGAAAGCCCUUGAUGGACGCUUCAGCUGCAUCGUCAGACUGGCAGUACUGAUGCAUUUACUGAGACGGGACGUGAGGGCCUACUCUGCGUGCUCAGAGUUCAAGCCCAGCAGGCUGCAGCGGGCCUGACAUAUUCUGGAACAGCAGCACAGUCUUUGGAUGACUCCUCUGAAGAUGAAAACAUGGCGAGUUCUUCUCAAGAGAAGCAGUACAGGUGUGCCUCAGCUCCACGGUCCCUCCUGCAGCCUCCGCUCCUGAUGCUAACCUCAUGUCUCCAUCACACCAAGCAGCAGACCUGGAUUGACAGACCUUUCUCCAGAGCUGCCCCCUCCCUCUGAAACCCCCCUCUCCAAAACACUAUUUGUGUAGUUUUUAAAGUAUUUUUUGCAUGAGAAUUGUUGAUCAUAACAUUUCCAGCAGAUGCCUUAAUAUAAUGUUUGUGCACAAUAAAU